GGGCCUGUAGCUCAAUUGGUCAGAGCCGGCGGCUCAUAACCGCUUGGUUGGGGGUUCGAGUCCCUCCGGGCCCA
This is a transfer RNA of Candidatus Tokpelaia, 74 nucleotides long. It matches the Rfam family "tRNA". From Rfam's summary of the family: Transfer RNA (tRNA) molecules are approximately 80 nucleotides in length. Their secondary structure includes four short double-helical elements and three loops (D, anti-codon, and T loops). Further hydrogen bonds mediate the characteristic L-shaped molecular structure. tRNAs have two regions of fundamental functional importance: the anti-codon, which is responsible for specific mRNA codon recognition, and the 3' end, to which the tRNAs corresponding amino acid is attached (by aminoacyl-tRNA synthetases). tRNAs cope with the degeneracy of the genetic code in two manners: having more than one tRNA (with a specific anti-codon) for a particular amino acid; and 'wobble' base-pairing, i.e. permitting non-standard base-pairing at the 3rd anti-codon position. The record is from Rfam. NCBI's taxonomy places the organism in Bacteria, Pseudomonadati, Pseudomonadota, Alphaproteobacteria, Hyphomicrobiales.